UACGGAGGGUGCAAGCGUUAUCCGGAUUUACUGGGUUUAAAGGGUGCGUAGGCGGCCUUUUAAGUCAGUGGUGAAAGCUUCCCGCUUAACGGGGAAAUUGCCAUUGAAACUGAAAGACUCGAGUGUAGUUGAAGUGGGCGGAAUACAUCAUGUAGCGGUGAAAUGCUUAGAUAUGAUGUAGAACACCAAUUGCGAAGGCAGCUCACUAAGCUAUUACUGACGCUGAGGCACGAAAGCGUGGGGAGCGAACAGG
This 253-nucleotide unclassified non-coding RNA is filed under the name uncultured Chitinophagales bacterium. RNAcentral describes it as "contains 16S-23S intergenic spacer region". It matches the Rfam family "Bacterial small subunit ribosomal RNA", at positions 524 to 776 of the family's 1533-position model. Lineage: Bacteria; Pseudomonadati; Bacteroidota; Chitinophagia; Chitinophagales. The record is from RNAcentral.